UUUUGUCAAACUCACUUUAUUUUUCACUUCAUUAUUUUUUCCACUCUUUUCUUUUAAAAGCUCACUCUUGGAUGUCUCACAUUCGCUCACUCUUUUUCCUUCACUCUUGUUUUCUCUCUCACUUUGUAUUCUUCUAAGCUCACCCUCAUAAACUUCUUUUGGUGAAAGUGGUACAAGAGUAAUUUUCUUUCCGUCUUUCUCAAAAGUGUAGUGAUUUGUGAAACCGUUAUGUUCCUUCGAUCAAAUUACCAAGGGCAUCCGAACAAAAGAUGACCAGCAUGCAUAGGCACUACAUCGAAUAACAAUUCAUCCUUAUACUUGCCUAUUU
RNAcentral lists this long non-coding RNA (328 nucleotides) under Carica papaya (papaya). RNAcentral's name for it is "long non-coding RNA (CPAP_LNC013509)". The record is from RNAcentral. Lineage: Eukaryota; Viridiplantae; Streptophyta; Magnoliopsida; Brassicales; Caricaceae.